RNAcentral lists this ribosomal RNA (246 nucleotides) under uncultured bacterium. RNAcentral's name for it is "partial 16S ribosomal RNA". It matches the Rfam family "Bacterial small subunit ribosomal RNA", at positions 524 to 769 of the family's 1533-position model. The record is from RNAcentral.
GACAGAGGGUGCAAACGUUGUUCGGAAUUACUGGGCGUAAAGCGCGUGUAGGCGGCUAAGUAAGUCGGGCGUGAAAUCCCACGGCUCAACCGUGGAAGUGCACUCGAAACUGCAUAGCUAGAGUCCUGGAGAGGAAGGUGGAAUGCUUGGUGUAGAGGUGAAAUUCGUAGAUAUCAAGCGGAACACCGGUGGCGAAGGCGGCCUUCUGGACAGUGACUGACGCUGAGACGCGAAAGCGUGGGGAGC